Long non-coding RNA from Macaca mulatta (Rhesus monkey), 5382 nucleotides. NCBI's taxonomy places the organism in Eukaryota, Metazoa, Chordata, Mammalia, Primates, Cercopithecidae. The record is from Ensembl.
GUUGUGUGUGAGGGUGAGAAUAUCCUCACAUGGAAACAAUUUUGUUUGUUAGGGAAUUCAGCUUUAAAACGGGAGCAAGGCAUUUAUCUCUUUGAUGCCAUGGCAACCCCCGGGAAAACGCAGAGUCCAACAAUGGGAUAAAAAUGUGCCUUAAGAGUGAGUAAGAAGGAGGCAACCUUGGAUUUCUUUUUCCCCCACUUUCCCUUGAACAGAAGGUUGCAUUGUGUUUUUCCAGCUGACUUUGCUUUCCAGCUAGGCUGCUGUGAGAGGAAAGAGCAAACAAUAAGAAGAACCCUUUUCUCAUGGAAUUUGGGCUCUCUGAAAAAUUGUGUGCUUUCUCAGUGGAGAGAAAGCUCAGUUUCUUUUCUCUAUCUUCCCCUCCCCUUGACAUCUUCCAAUUCAGUCAUUUUUAUUACAAGUUUCUCAAUCCUCUAUACAUUUUCCUCUCCGGAUAUGCCACUUGUCUUCUUUGGAGCUGUAGGGCUGGAUUGAUCUUUUCUCUAUGGUCACUGUUUUCUUCUAGGUAAAUUGAACUCCCCCAAGCCACUGAAGAUUGCUAAGGGUCCUCAUUUUGGCAACAUAGAUCCAAAUAUUGUGAUAACAGAGGUAGCCAAAGGACUUCGUCUCCAUUAUAUAGGUAAGUAAUGAUGAUGCUGAGCUUUCUCUGUGGUCUGUGCCAUGUUUCCUUCUAACAUGACAGCAGCAUCAAUACAACAAGGAUAGUUGACCGUGGUGCUGGGUUUUACAUUAAGGUCCUGUGUGUUUGGACUUAAAAACUUUAGUCCACUUAGAAGCCACCAGCAACCUGAGCAAGUGGCCCUAUAGUUUUAUACCUCAAACUAGUGUAAACACUGCUUUUCAACUAAUACAAAGAAAAGGAAUUGGGGAGGGAGGCCUUUCGAGUGACUUUAAAGAAUUGCACAUUGUCAGUUUGGCAACCAGAGGUGCAGUAGAGUGGAGGACUCUAUGUGGCAGAGCCAGGCCUUGACCCAGUGUGACCCCCUGGUAUCAGGAACCACAGGAGACUUGUGCAGCUGCCUGGCCUCCAACUGGCCUGCGAGGCUGGUCAUUCCAGGAAACUGGCAGUGAUGGUAUCAUUCCUAGGAGCAUGAUUCAGCCAAGAAGAAUGAAAACUUUAGAGCCAUGAAGGCUAACUGUGGAGGAUGGAAGGUUCAUCGCAUUCAUCUUUCUUUCCUGAGCACCCAUCAGUAAAUAUUGCCUUAAGUGAGAUGUACAAAUUCUAGCUGCUGCUCAGAACUGAUGGUUGUAUGGCCUGUAGAAAAUGUCUUCAUUUCUUUAAUAUUUUUUUUGCAGCUUACAUAAAUUUUCUUUUUUCCUGGAUUGGCCCUUGUGCAAAAAAACAUUGCUUCCCACAGUUAUAAGCCAUUAUAAAUGAUGUGUACCACUUCCUUAGUUUCCCAUCAUUUGGAGUCUAGUGAGGAGACACAGAUUAGUAGAUAAGGUCAAAUUCAACUCAAUAAAAGUUGGGGGUUACUUCAGUCCUGAGCCAGGUACCAGCCUGGCCCAGGGGAGCUUAGUAUGAAAGUACCUUAUGAGGUUGAACAUUUGUAUGGUAUUGUACAGUAUGUUUAAAAAGCCUAUCACAUAGAUGAUCUCAUUUGACUUUCACUGUAAGUAAAACGAAGGUAUCAGUACUGGUAUCAGUGAUGAACAGACUCAUAUGCGUUCAGGAGCUUUCUCAUGAUGUCCCUCUGCCAGCUGGACAGGGUCCAGGGACCUCAGGAAAACCAUAUUCUUCAGUUUAUGUGGGAUAUUGCACAUUUCUAGGACUGCAAGUGUUGAUGAGAGGGUAGGGGUGUGUGUACUUGGGAAGGAAACGCAUAAUUCAGGUGUUCCUGAACAAAUUGUGAUCCAGAUGUUGUCCAGCCCUUUUGAAUCUGACGACAAUGCUAGUGGAUUGUCCCAAGUUAAAGGAAUUUGGAUCAACCCCUGGUAUCAAUUUGGUAUCAGGUUUGAUAUAUAGUAGACAGAGCUGUUUAACAAGCUAUGUUCUUCAUCCUGUUGAUAAGGGAGAAACAGGAAGAUAUGAAGUUAUGCAAGGGAGUGUGAGCGGUCCAAAGCUGAAACAAUUUCAUUUGCUAAAGCGAUCUGAGGAUUAGCAUGUCUUUGCAUAAUACACGUAUAUAUUUAGCACAGUGCCUGGCACUGGCACUUAGUAGGUACUCAAUACAUGUUAAUAAGGUAAUAAAUAAUAGAUUAUGCAUGGUCCUGUUAUGGUUUUUAAAACAUUUUUUCAUUAGUCUUGAGUUCUGAUUCCUCUAUUGCUUUUGGAUGCCAGGUUAUUCUAUGUGCUUACUUGGUUCUUGAUGUACUAGUUAUGCAAUAAAAUCUGAUGAAGGAAUAAAUGAAAGAAGGAAGGCUUGCAGUGAUAUUUUGUAUUUACUUCUAAGGCAAUGUGGAUAUUCUCUAUUCCAGAAGAACUAAAAAAGAUUCACAUUCAUUGGUGUCAACAUUUCCACGUAUUUAUAAUUUCCAUUAUAUUAGGUUGGUGCAGGUGUAAUUGCAGUUUUUGCCAAUAUUAAAUAUAAUAGUGUUAAUAAAUUAAUUUAAUAUUAAAAUGUUAAAAUAAUCAGUAUUUUUUUCUUCUCUUCUUUUUUUCCUUCUUGAUAGACUUUCUUGUGUAGUCCUUAAAAAGCAGGACAAUUCUACUUUUUAAGUUGGCACUUUUGAAAGUUAUUUCAUUGAGUAUUUACGUAUUAGUAGACUGCUUGGUUCAACUUCUUACAGUGGACGUACAUUUUGGCCCAGAACUCAAGUGUGAAAAAAAUUAAUUUUUUUUUCUGUCUGAUGAUAAAAUUUUGAAGUGACAUUUCUACCAGGAGUUGGAAAACUUAAUCUCCAUCAGUUAGUAUUUUUCUCCUUCUAAUUCUUAAUUUGAAAUCUAAAUUUGGGAGAUAUUUUGGAGGCAAGAGGUCAAGUGCAAUGGAGUGAAUUCCUGCUUUAGACACGAGGGCAUCUGCCAGGAAUCUUCAUGCCUAUCUGCUUCCUGGCCAUCGGUCCACACAACACAGAUUGCUCUGCCAUCUUCCCAUCCCGAAUCUGAUGCCUUUUAUGUUGCUAGCUCCCUCCAUUACUUGGAUGCACCUUUUGGGUACAAAGGCAACAUUUGGCUCUUCUUACACUUUGUUGGGACACAGAGAAUUCCGCCAGUUCCUUUUGCUUAAGCACCCCACAGAACUAUCUCUUCUCCACUAUUACUUUACUAAGUUGGUGACAGAAACGCUUUAGCUCCUGAUGCCUCUGCAGGAUAUCCCUCCCCGAGAGUGUAAAGAUUCUCUGCUGUUGAAUCUCCCAAAUCAAUCUGGGUUUCUGUGAAUUCCACCAUCACAGGGGACUCAACUCAGGGAGGGUAGAGAAGAAUUCUUCUUCUGGAGGACGUGCCAUUGCCGCUGCCUGCCCUCCAGCUCUUCCUUCCCAACGAAUCUGGCUGUGAAGAUUUAUCUCAUCUGUGGUUUCGGGUGGAGGAAGAGGGUGAUGUUCUGGGCAGGGAUGUCUUUGAAUUAUGCUGAAUUCUUUAAAAACUUCUGUGAUGCCUUGAGUUCCCAAGAGUCUCAGGUUGCAACUUCAAAGACAAGAUUUUGAUUCUCAGAGCUUUACAGUUGUCAAAUGCUGACAACUCUUUAAGGUUCACUAGGUUUCAUUGGGUCAGCCAAUGUUAUUUGUUACCAAGCACUUAUUAUGUGCCAUGGGCCUGGUGUGAUAUUAGGUCACCACUAGGAAAUAAAAGGAGAAAUAGGACAGGAGCUAAACUAAAAGAACCCAAGUCUUUCAUGAUUGUGUGGAGGUGGGUAUUCAAUUUAAUAAUUAUGUACUGAUAUAGUUUGGCUGUGCCCCCACCCAAAUCUCAUCUUCAGUUGUAGCCCCCAUAAUUCCCAUGUGUUGUGGGAGGGACCCAGUGGGAGAUAAUUUCAUCUCUGGGAUGGUUUCCCCCAUACUGUUCUCAUGGUAGUGAAUAAGUCUUACGAGGUCUGAUGGUUUUAUAAGGGGAACUCCUUUUUGCCUGACUCUCAUUCUCUUUUUGCCAACUGCCAUGUAAGACAUCCCUUUGUUCUUCUUUCAUCUUCUGCCAUGAUUGUGAGGCCUCCCCAGUCAUGUGGAGCUGUGAGUCAAUUAAACCUCUUUCCUUUAUAAAUUACCCAGUCUUGGGUAUGUCUUUAUCUGCAGCAUGCAAAUGAACUAAUACACAUAUUGAGCAUUUUCUAUUUAUCAAGAACGUGGCCGGGCAUGAUGGCUCAUCCCUAUAAUCCCACCACUUUGGGAGGCCAAGGUGAGCAGAUCACUUGAGUUCAGGCAUUUGAGACCAGACGUCCUCAUGCCUACCUGGUCGCUGGUCCCUAGUCCACACAACACAGAUUGCUGUGCCAUUUUCCCAUCCUGAAUCUGAAGCCUUUUAUGAAGCCAGCUCCCUGGUGAAACCCAUGUAGAAAUUCAAUUCUACAAAAACUACAAAAAUUAGCUGGGUGUGGUAGUCCCGGCUACUCGGGAGGCUGAGUUGGGAGGAUUGCUUCAUCCUAGGAGUUCAAGGUUACAGUGAACUGUGACCACUCUACUGCAUUCCAGUCUGGGCAACAGAGAAAGUCCCUAUCUCAAAAAAAAAAAAGAAGUGUGCUAGGUACUAACAGCAUAUUAAUGAACAAGACAAAUUCUUAGAUGACAAAAUGUGGUUAAAAGCUUGAACUCUGGAGUCAGGUGGCUAGUUUAAAGGGUGUCUUUUGUGAUCUUAACUGUCUGAGUCUCAGUGGGCACACAUGCAAGGAAAGAACAGAAAUAAUAACAUCCAUUUUAUAAAUUGGAAUGAGGAUUAAACUGAUAUAAUAUUAAUAUAUAUGAAAUAUUAAGCACAGCACGUAACACAUAAUAUCAGAUAUCAUAUGUGGACUGGCUCAACAUCUCUUCCAAACUCUACUGUGCCUCCUUGUGAAGCUUGCAGAACUGUGUUGUCCAGACUCCCUUACAGCUAGGAUUCCAUAUAUAAUUUAGAGCCCUCCUACCAGAUGGAUUUGUUUCCUGAAGGUUCAUGAUUCUGGGUUUGACUAUAUUAACCUGCAUGAGAUUUGUAUGAAAUAGUACCCAUAUUCUUUUACCCUCGGAACACCGGGCAUAGUUGCAGCUCAUGCAUGUAGUCUCUGUCCAGUGGUUCCCCUUGUUGGCGUGAGGCAGUAAGGCAUGGUUUCUAUUAAUAUUUUCAUGGAGCUAUGGCUUAGCAAGAGAGAAAAUGUUACAAGUGUGACAUGUUCUUUUUCCUUGCAUUGAAAAGAUUUCUUUUGACCCUUCUCCCAGUUCCCAGAAGGAAAGUAGUGUCUUUUCCUUGCUACAUUGAAAGAAAGCUGGGGCAGAGGGCAUCUUGCUAAAAUUAAGAUA